CAGUCGUACCUUCGGGUAAUCAGCCUUUCGGGUGCGAUUCUGUGGAGUGUGAGGAGCUUAACACCUUCAUGCUUUGCAUAUUUGUGCUCUUGGGUGUACUUGCCCGUGUGGUUGGUUAACAUCAAUUUUGGUUAUCAUAAAAUGAUUGGAGGAAUGUAGCUUCGAUCUCGUAUUGAAGUGUUAUAGCCUUCGGUAGAUGUGAUGAACGAGAUUGAGGAUUGCAACGGAUACCCUUUGGGGCUACCUGUCUGGUCUCUGAUCGUUGCUCUGGUGCCGAAAGCUUGCUUACGGUUAUCAAAGUCGAUGGUCAAUAGGUUAGAACGGGUUAAA
This 330-nucleotide ribosomal RNA is filed under the name uncultured Glomeromycotina. RNAcentral describes it as "eukaryotic LSU rRNA". Lineage: Eukaryota; Fungi; Glomeromycota. The record is from RNAcentral.